CCUACGGGUGGCAGCAGUGAGGAAUAUUGGUCAAUGGACGCAAGUCUGAACCAGCCAUGCCGCGUGCAGGAUGACGGCUCUAUGAGUUGUAAACUGCUUUUGUACGAGGGUAAACCCCGAUACGUGUAUCGGGUUGAAAGUAUCGUACGAAUAAGGCUCGGCUAACACCGUGCCAGCAGCCGCGGUAAUUCGGAGGAACCGAGCGUUUGCCGGAUUUGUUGGGGUGAAAGGGUGCGUAGGCGGUUUGAUAAGUUAGGGGGGAAAUGUAGGGGCUCAACCCCGAAACUGCCUCUAAUACUGUUGGACUAGAGAAUAGUUGCGGUAGGCGGAAUGUAUGGUGUAGCGGUGAAAUGCUUAGAGAUCAUACAGAACACCGAUUGCGAAGGCAGCUUACCAAACUAUAUCUGACGUUGAGGCACGAAAGCGUGGGUAGCAAACAGGAUUAGAUACCCGGGUAGUC
This 460-nucleotide ribosomal RNA is filed under the name uncultured bacterium. RNAcentral describes it as "partial 16S ribosomal RNA". It matches the Rfam family "Bacterial small subunit ribosomal RNA", at positions 338 to 795 of the family's 1533-position model. The record is from RNAcentral.